This 439-nucleotide ribosomal RNA is filed under the name uncultured bacterium. RNAcentral's name for it is "bacterial SSU rRNA". It matches the Rfam family "Bacterial small subunit ribosomal RNA", at positions 954 to 1392 of the family's 1533-position model. The record is from RNAcentral.
GCAUAACGCGAAGAACCUUACCCAGGCUUGACAUGCAUUUCUAAGCGCGUGAAAGCGCGCGACCCUUCGGGGGACUUGCACAGGUGCUGCAUGGCCGUCGUCAGCUUCGUGUCGUGAGAUGUUGGGUUAAGUCCCGCAACGAGCGCAACCCUUGUGAACAGUUGCCAGCGCGUCAUGGCGGGAACUCUGUUCAGACUGCCCAGAUCAACUGGGAGGAAGGUGGGGACGACGUCAGGUCAGUAUGGCCCUUACGCCUGGGGCUGCACACGUACUACAAUGCCCGGCACAAUGAGAACCGAGACCGCGAGGUGGAGGAAAUCUGGAAAACCGGGCCCAGUUCGGAUUGGAGGCUGCAACCCGCCUCCAUGGAGUCGGAAUCGCUAGUAAUGGCGCAUCAGCUACGGCGCCGUGAAUACGUUCCCGGGUCUUGUACACACCG